AACGAACGCUGGCGGCAGGCUUAACACAUGCAAGUCGAGCGCAUCCUUCGGGGUGAGCGGCGGACGGGUGAGUAACGCGUGGGAACGUGCCCUCUUCUACGGAAUAGCCUCGAGAAACUGAGAGUAAUGCCGUAUACGCCCGCAAGGGGAAAGAUUUAUCGGAGGAGGAUCGGCCCGCGUUGGAUUAGGUAGUUGGUGGGGUAACGGCCUACCAAGCCGACGAUCCAUAGCUGGUUUGAGAGGAUGAUCAGCCACACUGGGACUGAGACACGGCCCAGACUCCUACGGGAGGCAGCAGUGGGGAAUCUUGGACAAUGGGGGCAACCCUGAUCCAGCCAUGCCGCGUGAUCGAUGAAGGCCUUAGGGUUGUAAAGAUCUUUCAGCUGGGAAGAUAAUGACGGUACCAGCAGAAGAAGCCCCGGCUAACUCCGUG
Molecule: ribosomal RNA, 433 nt
Filed under: uncultured bacterium
Lineage: Bacteria
Description: partial 16S ribosomal RNA
Rfam family: Bacterial small subunit ribosomal RNA
Source: RNAcentral